UUUAAAGCUUUUUAAACACCAACAGACUGCCGUUUACGAUCGCUCACGACUCGGUCCGAGUAAUUCAGGAGUCCUCUUUACCCCGCCCUUACGUUUUCACAGAUUUAGGACGUACUUUUAGGAUUGAAACGCUUUAAUAAUAAUAAUAAUAAUAAUAAUAAUAAUAAUAAUAAUAAUAAUAAAAAUAAAUAAAUAAAUAAAAAAGGUAGUUUUAUUUCAAAUAAAACACACCCAAGUCGAGAGAUUCUCCUCCAUCCGUUUUAGCCUCAGGAAACAAUACAGAGUUGGACUGUUGCAACACUAACAGGACAAAAACUCAACUGAACGAGAGGUUUGCAUUUGCAUCAUGUGCAAUAACAAACACGUCUUGAUUUUUUUUUCCCCCCUUCUCUCGAUUCUUAGCGAGAAUUCAGAGCGUCUUAUAUUCCAGGAAAUACGGUACGUUUCAACGGUAGCAGAUUCCCGACGUUGACAGAAAUGCUUGACGAGAACUUUUAAGCUGUUAUUUCCAUAAUCAACUGAGGAUGUUUGCAAAAAAACAAUAUAAUUAAAAAAAAAUUAAAAAUAAAAAAAAAAAUUUAAAAAAAAAAAAGAGAGAAGAGAAACACGUGUAAAUAUGCCGUUUUGCUUGUUAAAUAAAUAAAUAAAUGAAUAAACAAAUAAAUAAAUAAAUAAAUGGAGAAUCUGUCAUUUUGUCUUUGUUGUCGGAUUGAGAUUUAGGAUUAUUCGGAGGUGCAGGGAAUGAAACGUCUGCACAGCUCCGAGGAUAAGGAGCGCAAAAUUAUGACAGAUUGCUCUUCUUUACCGUUUCUGGUAAGUGGUGAGCGUCGUGUACGUGUUUUAACACCGGUAAACGGUGUAGAAAUCUAAAUCAUCUGAAAAUCAUUCGUUACAGGUAAUAGUACAACGUAGGCAUUACCAAUGCUGAUAAAAACUGAAGUGCGAGGACGGGAAGGAAAUUCAUCGUGGUUUAAAUAAAUAAAAUAAAAAUAAAUAAAUAAAAUAAUGUAUCUGGGUCAAGCAGCAGAAUGAAACUGACUCAUGGUGGCAUUGUUUAAAAAUACCAAAUCUAACCACAUUUCGUGCCACUUCGGUGUGUCGGUCUUCCGUUCUACUUUAACCAGAG
Molecule: long non-coding RNA, 1126 nt
Organism: Ictalurus punctatus (channel catfish)
Lineage: Eukaryota; Metazoa; Chordata; Actinopteri; Siluriformes; Ictaluridae
Source: Ensembl